Molecule: transfer RNA, 73 nt
Filed under: Planctomycetota bacterium
Lineage: Bacteria; Pseudomonadati; Planctomycetota
Description: Planctomycetes bacterium (rhizosphere metagenome) tRNA-Thr
Rfam family: tRNA
About the family: Transfer RNA (tRNA) molecules are approximately 80 nucleotides in length. Their secondary structure includes four short double-helical elements and three loops (D, anti-codon, and T loops). Further hydrogen bonds mediate the characteristic L-shaped molecular structure. tRNAs have two regions of fundamental functional importance: the anti-codon, which is responsible for specific mRNA codon recognition, and the 3' end, to which the tRNAs corresponding amino acid is attached (by aminoacyl-tRNA synthetases). tRNAs cope with the degeneracy of the genetic code in two manners: having more than one tRNA (with a specific anti-codon) for a particular amino acid; and 'wobble' base-pairing, i.e. permitting non-standard base-pairing at the 3rd anti-codon position.
Source: RNAcentral
GCCGGCGCGGCUCGACUGGCCGAGCACCGCUCUCGUAAGGCGGCAAGUGUGGGUUCGAAUCCCACCGCUGGCU